UACGGAGGGUGCAAGCGUUAUCCGGAUUCACUGGGUUUAAAGGGUGCGUAGGUGGGCAGGUAAGUCAGUGGUGAAAUCUCCGGGCUUAACUCGGAAACUGCCAUUGAUACUAUCUGUCUUGAAUACCGUGGAGGUCAGCGGAAUAUGUCAUGUAGCGGUGAAAUGCUUAGAUAUGACAUAGAAUACCAAUUGCGAAGGCAGCUGGCUACACGAAUAUUGACACUCAGGCACGAAAGCGUGGGGAUCAAACAGG
Molecule: ribosomal RNA, 253 nt
Filed under: uncultured bacterium
Lineage: Bacteria
Description: partial 16S ribosomal RNA
Rfam family: Bacterial small subunit ribosomal RNA
Source: RNAcentral